RNAcentral lists this ribosomal RNA (437 nucleotides) under uncultured bacterium. RNAcentral describes it as "bacterial SSU rRNA". It matches the Rfam family "Bacterial small subunit ribosomal RNA", at positions 958 to 1397 of the family's 1533-position model. The record is from RNAcentral.
AACGCGAAGAACCUUACCAGGCCUUGACAUCCCGUGCUACGUCCAGAGAUGGGCGGUCCCCGCAAGGGGCGCGGAGACAGGUGCUGCAUGGCUGUCGUCAGCUCGUGUCGUGAGAUGUUGGGUUAAGUCCCGCAACGAGCGCAACCCUCGCCUUUAGUUGCCAUCAUUUAGUUGGGCACUCUAAAGGGACCGCCGGCGACAAGCCGGAGGAAGGUGGGGAUGACGUCAAGUCCUCAUGGCCCUUACGGCCUGGGCUACACACGUGCUACAAUGGCCGGUAUAAACCGCUGCAAACCCGCGAGGGGGAGCUAAUCGGAAAAAGCCGGCCUCAGUUCGGAUUGCAGUCUGCAACUCGACUGCAUGAAGCUGGAAUCGCUAGUAAUCGCAGAUCAGAAUGCUGCGGUGAAUACGUUCCCGGGCCUGUACACACCGACAUA